UACGGAGGGUGCAAGCGUUAUCCGGAUUCACUGGGUUUAAAGGGUGCGUAGGUGGGCAAGUAAGUCAGUGGUGAAAUCUCCGGGCUUAACCCGGAAACUGCCAUUGAUACUAUUUGUCUUGAAUACUGUGGAGGUCAGCGGAAUAUGUCAUGUAGCGGUGAAAUGCUUAGAUAUGACAUAGAACACCAAUUGCGAAGGCAGCUGGCUACACAAAUAUUGACACUGAGGCGCGACAGCGUGGGGAGCAAACAGG
Molecule: ribosomal RNA, 253 nt
Filed under: uncultured bacterium
Lineage: Bacteria
Description: partial 16S ribosomal RNA
Rfam family: Bacterial small subunit ribosomal RNA
Source: RNAcentral